UGCUGAAAAGAGCCGCCACGUCCUACCUACGGGGUGGCAGCGUAUCUGUGAUAUGCGGGGGUGGCAUUGCCACCAUCACCGCUGCUGUCGGUACGAAGAUGCUCAUCGAUGGUUCGUGUCCGGGAUUUCUACAACCGGGUGGUUGGAGUGAGUUGCCCGACAUCAGCCUCAUGCGAAGUUGAGAUCGUAUCUCGUUUUUCUUAUUUAUGUGUAACAUUUGCCUUUAGAAGGAAAAACUAAAUUGCGUUUAACACAGAUAGUUUCAUCUUACAGAAAAUAAGGACUCUAUUUUGCAACUGGUUUACCUCUCCUAGCGAAGAUGCCUACUUGUCUUUACAUAUAAAUGGGAUAAUAUACCUAUCUCUUAUCUCUCUAUUAAUAUAUUCGUAUAAAUAAGAGUCAGAGAUUCAAUGAAUUAUAUGAUUUUAUAUUUUACAUUUGGUGAAUAAAAUUUAAUAAAAGAUAUGUAAAUACAGUAAAAUGAAUUAAGUGAGGCGUAAAUUGAUCUGUGAACGAGCGAAAGAGAGAGAAAGUGAUAGCGUUACGGAGAGGCAAGAUCGUAGAUGAAUAAGAGGGGAAGAAAGAUAGCGGUUGGUGGUACAGAGAAGACAGAGUGUAGGGUGCUGAAGAUCGAUAGAUAUAUGAAAGUGGAAAGCAACAUGGAAAGUGAUACCGGGAAACUCGUAGAGUAGCUUCUUAAAUUUUGUCUUCUCCCAAAUUUAAAUAAACGCUUUUCGAUCCCGACCGACAUCAAUUCAAUCGAUUAUUUUUUUCUUUCUUUUUGCGCUAAAACAAGUUUUUCCCGUAACAGUGAUUACGAUGGUUACGAGGGAUACUUCAGAUACGUUGACCGCGUCUAAUUAAUCUUACAUAUAUGUAUGCAUUAUACAUCAAUCUCGAGUUAAAUUGAAACCUUCAAACAAAAUGUUCUAAUUUCAGAUUUCAUCAAUUUACUUGAUAGUUAUUAACCGAAGAUUGAUAUUCUCGAUAGAUCUGACCAAUACUCGCUAGCCUGUUUGUAUUAAUGGAGAAGACAGGUAAUUUCGUACGUUACGUUUAGUUCUGUUUAGCUGCCUAUUGCACUUGCAGGUAUCCAGGUAUAAAUUUCAAGUUGAGUGUCAAGAGCGCAGGCUUUAGGUUUUGACAGCUCAAGUACAAGCGAUUAAUUGGCCUACCAUUAUCGUCCCUUUACUGUCCUCUGCAACGUAGAGCCAGAGCUUGGCUACAGACGCAGAUCGAUGGUGGAUUCAUCAAAUACUCGACACGGAAAUAGUCGAGAUUAACUCGACAAUUUUUGACGAUAGUAGGGAUAUAUCCGGCAUAUACUGGUAGAUGAAUGUCUCGCUAGAGUGGUACACAGAGACACGGUUUAUCCGCACUGUCAACUCGCCGGAUUAAAUCCCGACAUGGUGACGGCGUGAAAUUUUCUGGGAAAGUUACGGUCAACCCUGAAAGAUGUCUUUGAUUAAAUUUUCAAGGCAUAAAGGUUGCUCUGCUCAUCGCACCUGUGUUUAUCUUUCCGCGAAAAAAUUACAUACCGCGUUAACAUUAUGUUACAGUGUUACAGCAAAAAAUCAUUAAUCGUAUAGAUGUAACGGAUGUAAAAUUGUUUUCAAAUUUUUAAUUAAUAGAAUCCUUACAGAAAUUUAAUAUUAAGAAUUACUGAAUAAUUUUUAGUGAUUAAGCACUAUUAGUAAUUCAGUAAUUUUUUGGCCAGUGCUUAAUUAUUGGUUAAAUACUGGCAAUAAUAAAAUACUUAAAAUUAUUGGGUAAAACUUUUUCAUUUCUGAGUUUACGGUAUUUUCAAUAGCAGAGUACUCUAGGCAAUAUAAUAAAUAUUUCUUUUAGGAUUAAGAUUGUAUUCUACUGGCGAAUCUUUAUAUAGAUUUGAAGCAAAUCGUAUUACUUCUAACUCCAUUUUUAGUGUAGUUGAGCAAACAAAUGAACUUGUAGCUAUCUUUCCACAAAUGUUAUUAACAAAAUGUAUUAUAACACGACAUCCAAAUAAUAUAAGAAAAUUUUCUUGUUUUCCUUUAGUGAAUUCAGUUGAAAGAGACUAAAUUCUGCGCAAUAAUAAGAAAGGCAGUUCAUGAGAUUCUGCUACAAUUGAUGUAUACUUAAUAAAUCGUUUGACUUAAAAUAUAUCAUUUGAUAUACA
Molecule: long non-coding RNA, 2158 nt
Organism: Ooceraea biroi (clonal raider ant)
Lineage: Eukaryota; Metazoa; Arthropoda; Insecta; Hymenoptera; Formicidae
Source: RefSeq, a predicted model, not a curated record